This 488-nucleotide ribosomal RNA is filed under the name uncultured bacterium. RNAcentral describes it as "bacterial SSU rRNA". It matches the Rfam family "Bacterial small subunit ribosomal RNA", at positions 35 to 507 of the family's 1533-position model. The record is from RNAcentral.
GACGAACGGCUGGCGGCGUGGAUUAGGCAUGCAAGUCGAACGGUAGGAUACCUUCGGGUAUCUGAGAGUGGCGAACGGGUGAGUAACACGUAGGUGAUCUACCCUCAAGAUUGGGACAACCCAGGGAAACUUGGGCUAAUACCGGAUGAAAGCAGCAGUGAUGUGUUUGAAAGGUGGCGUAAGCUGCCGUUUGGGGAUGAGCCUGCGCUCUAUUAGUUAGUUGGCGGGGUAAAGGCCCACCAAGGCGAUGAUAGAUAGGCGGCCUUAACGGGUGGUCGCCCACACUGGGAUUGAGAUACGGCCCAGACUCCUACGGGAGGCAGCAGUCGAGAAUAGUCUACAAUGGCCGAAAGGCUGAUAGUGCGACGCCGCGUGAACGAAGAAGCCCUUCGGGGUGUAAAGUUCUUUUAUAUGUGAGCAGUGCUUUCUAUGUGAACAGCAUGGGGAGAGAGAUAUUAGCAUAUGAAUAAGCAACGGCUAACUCCGUG